This 491-nucleotide ribosomal RNA is filed under the name uncultured bacterium. RNAcentral describes it as "partial 16S ribosomal RNA". It matches the Rfam family "Bacterial small subunit ribosomal RNA", at positions 29 to 506 of the family's 1533-position model. The record is from RNAcentral.
AGUGAACGCUGGCGGUAGGCCUAACACAUGCAAGUCGAACGGCAGCACAGUAAGAGCUUGCUCUUACGGGUGGCGAGUGGCGGACGGGUGAGGAAUACAUCGGAAUCUACUUUUUCGUGGGGGAUAACGUAGGGAAACUUACGCUAAUACCGCAUACGACCUACGGGUGAAAGCAGGGGAUCUUCGGACCUUGCGCGAUUGAAUGAGCCGAUGUCGGAUUAGCUAGUUGGCGGGGUAAAGGCCCACCAAGGCGACGAUCCGUAGCUGGUCUGAGAGGAUGAGCAGCCACACUGGAACUGAGACACGGUCCAGACUCCUACGGGAGGCAGCAGUGGGGAAUAUUGGACAAUGGGCGCAAGCCUGAUCCAGCCAUACCGCGUGGGUGAAGAAGGCCUUCGGGUUGUAAAGCCCUUUUGUUGGGAAAGAAAAGCAGCAGGUUAAGACCCCGCUGUUCUGACGGUACCCAAAGAAUAAGCACCGGCUAACUUCGU